UACGGGGGGAGCAAGCGUUGUUCGGAUUUACUGGGCGUAAAGGGCGCGUAGGCGGUCAGCACAAGUCAGUUGUGAAAUCUCCGGGCCUAACUCGGAAAGGUCGACUGAUACUGUGCGACUAGAGUGCAGAAGGGGCAACUGGAAUUCUCGGUGUAGCGGUGAAAUGCGUAGAUAUCGGGAGGAAUACCGAUGGCGAAGGCAGGUCUCUGGGCUGACACUGACGCUCAUGCACGAAAGCGUGGGGAGCAAACAGG
RNAcentral lists this ribosomal RNA (254 nucleotides) under uncultured bacterium. Its description in RNAcentral is "partial 16S ribosomal RNA". It matches the Rfam family "Bacterial small subunit ribosomal RNA", at positions 524 to 776 of the family's 1533-position model. The record is from RNAcentral.